Molecule: long non-coding RNA, 2582 nt
Filed under: Homo sapiens (human)
Lineage: Eukaryota; Metazoa; Chordata; Mammalia; Primates; Hominidae
Description: HSALNT0074943
Source: RNAcentral
CUGCAGUAGAGAAUUAAACACCAUUUGUAGAACAUCUCCUGGAUUGCUCCUUAGCCAUAAUAGAGAUGAAGAGAAUACAGCUUGUUGGCAUCAGCCGUGAAGAUGCAUGACAGUUUUAUGAGAAGGCUGAUGAAUAAGGGUCUGAAAAUGAUGAUGAAGAGCACAGAGUGUUCAAAUCCUGCCUGUCAAUGCUAAGAGCCACCAUGUUGUGAGGAAGCCCAGGCCACAUGGAGAGGCCAUGCCAUGUGUACAUGUUCCAGCUGACAGCCCCAGAGAAGGACACAGUGCACAGCCAGGAAUAAUUUCCAAAUUUGGCCAGUAUGUCUUUGCUCAAGCAUCCAAACAUCUGACCUCAGUGACAGUGUUCAAGCAGUUGGAAUCUGAGCAAACUGCCAUCCAUCUUAUCUGAUUUCUCAAACAAGUCCACCUCUUGCCCAAGGAGCAUCACCAGUAGAAGCUGAAGAGGGAUUUGUGCUGUGUGCUGUGAAGUGUCAUCUGAGCUUAUCAUCAUGUCCAGAACUCAACGAACAAUGUCAAGUAACAAUGAUGAUAGAAGAAUCAGACUCUUGGUUUUUAAAGACCUAUGGGAAACGUCAUUUGAAUACACCAAGCCCAGUACCCAUUUGCUUCCAAAGAAGUGUUGUCAGAGUUACUUUUUGAAGAGUAUCCUCCUAAAGGUUCUAAGAUAUUUCAAACUUAGAGUCUAAGAUCAAAAUGAAGAAAAUGGGACAAACAGCACAGUUUCUUUUAAAUAAGCUGCUACUUUAAUACUUUAAAUCUAGAUCCUGAAUUAUAACACAGUAGUAAAAUCAUUUGAGUACUGGCAAUUAGUUGAAAAAUAGCCUUCUGAGGUAAUAAUUUGCAGGAAAGCCCAAAGAUUUAAUGUUUUAAGUAUUCUUUUUUUUAUUUGAUCAGUGUAAUUUUCUUGUUCAAUUUAAUGAUGAUGUUAACAUUAGACUGUCCAAAACCUUUGAUUUACUGCUAAUUGUCAACUUCUGAGCCAUGCUGAGCAGACUCUCACACCUUCAUCCAUGGACAUAAUUAUGUGAACCCUCUCUUUAGUAGUCAAGGCCAUAGAUUUAAAAUAUAGGCAAAAUAGUAGCUCUGAGGAAUCCUUUUUACAAAAACCAGGGUUUAUGUUUAUGAUUUUUAAAAAUCUACCUAAAAAUGUAUAGAUAGCUUCUUUGCCCUUUUAGAACCACCCUUAACGGUUUUUCCUCUGUGUGACUUCUGGCAUUUUCCAAAUGUUCUACAAAGUGCCCACAACCAUUAAAUGAUUUUCCCUUUGUCAAUUCGGAUCCAUUUUCCACCCUCUUCUGUACCACAAUAUGCUCCAGGAGGAUCUUCUCUAUGGGCUUCCUUCCUUACACUCUGGUUGCAGAUGAGUUUGGUCAGUUGGAGGCACCCAGAGCAAAUCAAAAGUAUAAGGAAAAAGAAUAGAUUUAUUCACUCACUCCUCACUGGACCAUGGUAUUUGCCAGUGUCUGCAGUUUUCUUCUGCUCACCCUCACUGCUGCUGGGUGCCUUUGCAGAGCCACUCGAUGGACAACACUCUGGUACUGGAAUAAUCUAAAACAAUGCUCAGUUUUUUCAGAUGACAAAACACUGGUGAUUCAGUUGUUAGAAUCUUCCACCUAAUUUGGAUGUCACACAGCUAUCCUAUAAUUUAAUGUUAUACAAUUUUUACGUUUUAAGCAAUGAAAUAGGAUAAAAAAUGAAACACUUUAUCAAACUGAACUCAAUGUGCAGAAGACUCAUUUAAUACACACAUGUCUAACACACAUGCACAUACCACACAUACAAAUAUGUGCACGUGCCUAUAUAUAUAUAAUUUAAUCUGCAUAGUUCAAAGGCAAUAAUUAAAUUGGAAUUAAUUAAAUCAGUUCUUUUAUAGAAAUAUUUUACCAAACUACCACUUAAUAGUAAAUCCUAUUUUAAGGGAAUAUAUUGCACAUAAACCCAUUUAGUAUGUUUAAAGUAGAUAUCAGUAUGACUUAGGCUAUCCUAAAACAUCAACCUUUAAAAGGCUUUAAAGUAGCUAUUACAUCCACUUCCUCCACAUAUAUUGUUUUUAUUUUCAAAUCAUAUGUGCUUUGGAAAGUGGCUAUGCCUAAGAUAGUGUUUUACCCCAACUCUUAUUUUUUUUGUUAUAAAUUAGUAGUUUCUACCUCAUGAAGAGUGUAUCCAUCUGCUAGGGCUCCCAUAAUCAAAUACCACAGACUAGGUGGCUUAAACAAACAAACAAACAAAAUACAUGUUUUCCAGUUCUGGAAGCUGGAAGUCCAUGAUCAAGGUGCCAGCAAAUUCAGCUUUUGAUGAAGACUCUCCCACUGGCUUGCAGACUGCUGCCUCUCCAUGUGUUCUCACAUGGCCCUUUCUCCUCUGGUAGGAUUUGGAGAAAGAGAUCUCCCUUUUUUUUAUUUUUUAUUUAUCUCUCUUUAUUUUCUUACAAAAACAUCAGUCUUAUUGGAUUAGGGAUUCACCCUUGUGACGUCCUUUAACCUUAAUUGGUUUCCUAAAGGCCCUAUCUUCAAAUACAGUGACCUUGGGGGUUAGGACUUUAACAUAUAAGUUUAGGGAUG